CCUACGGGAGGCAGCAGUGGGGAAUAUUGCACAAUGGGGGAAACCCUGAUGCAGCGACGCCGCGUGAGUGAAGAAGUAAUUCGUUAUGUAAAGCUCUAUCAGCAGGGAAGAAAAUGACGGUACCUGAGUAAGAAGCCCCGGCUAACUACGUGCCAGCAGCCGCGGUAAUACGGAGGGGGCAAGCGGUAUCCGGAUUUACUGGGUGGAAAGGGAGCGUAGACGGCAGUGCAAGUCUGGAGUGAAAGGCGGGGGCUCAACCCCCGGACUGCUCUGGAAACUGUACGGCUGGAGUGCAGGAGAGGUAAGUGGAAUGCCUGGUGUAGCGGUGAAAUGCGUAGAUAUUAGGAGGAACACCAGUGGCGAAGGCGGCUUACUGGACUGUAACUGACGUUGAGGCUCGAAAGCGUGGGGAGCAAACAGGAUUAGAUACCCCUGUAGUC
This 440-nucleotide ribosomal RNA is filed under the name uncultured bacterium. RNAcentral's name for it is "partial 16S ribosomal RNA". It matches the Rfam family "Bacterial small subunit ribosomal RNA", at positions 338 to 795 of the family's 1533-position model. The record is from RNAcentral.